Long non-coding RNA from Helianthus annuus (common sunflower), 1006 nucleotides. RefSeq lists it as uncharacterized. NCBI's taxonomy places the organism in Eukaryota, Viridiplantae, Streptophyta, Magnoliopsida, Asterales, Asteraceae. The transcript has 2 exons. The record is from RefSeq and is a predicted model, not a curated record.
UCACCUCUUCUUCAUCCCAUCAUCACCUUUAACCACCCACCUCGGUCAUAACCACCACCUACAACUUCAUUAAAUCCAACCCCUCUUCAAAUAUUUUCCAUUAUCCCCACCAACACAACCAUGUAAACCACUUAAACCCACAAAUCCGAAAAUCACCAUCGAAGCCACUUUUAAUUCAACCCGCCACAACCACCCACCUCCGGCGAACUUCCCGCCUUUUCCGUUGCGGCUAACAUUCUGUUCAACUAGAAUGUUUGGACCAGGGCACUCGCGAGAAUCAAGAUUUAAUUUUUAUGCUAAUUGUUAAAUUAAGAUUGGGGCAGUAAGUCAAGUGGGCUGAAUUGGAAUUAAAAAGGAAAUCAGGAGACAACAAUUGAAGGGGAAACAAGAGUUCUGUUGGCCAUUGGCGGCAGCCUUGGCUGCUGGGGCGAGGAGAAACAUAAGGCAAAACAGUUUGAUUGUGAUUUGAAAGAUUAGGUGGGAAAAAGGUGGGCUCGCAGAGGUGAGUGGUUUCGCAGUGGUCGUUGGAGGCUGUGGUUUUAGGUGGAGAUUGGGGUGUUUGAUGAUUUAGUUGCAGACAAAGCAAAUGAGAGAGAAAAAGGGAGUGGGGUGGAGACCAAGGGCUGUGGUGCGAUGGUCGCCAGAAAAUCGUGGUAGUGCCAGUUUGGGUGGAGAAGAAAAGGGUGGGGGUGGAGUGGACCAAAAGUGGUGGUGCGGUGGUCGCCGGAAAAUCAUGGUGGCGGCAAACAGUUUGCGUGGAGAAGAAAGGUGGGAGUGGAGUUGUUGCUUUGUUUUUUUUUAAUAAGUGGGUCCCACAUUUAAAUAUAUCUAUUUAUUUAAUAGUUUUUUGUUUUGUAGUAAGAGUAUUUUUGUCAUAUCACACUUACUUAACUGAGAAAACUAACUGAUGUUAGGCCGAGCGACUAUCCGAGAACGAAUGUGCAAAAGUUGAGAACUAUAGCUGUAAUUUUAUAAGUUUAGCAACUAUAGGUGAAAUCUGAGCAAA